UACGGAGGAUCCAAGCGUUGUCCGGAAUCAUUGGGCGUAAAGAGCGUGUAGGCGGCUUGUUAAGUCUUGCGUGAAAUCUCGGGGCUCAACCCCGAGCGGUCGUGAGAAACUGGCAGGCUAGAGUGCGGGAGAGGAGAGUGGAAUUCCUGGUGUAGCGGUGAAAUGCGCAGAUAUCAGGAAGAACACCAAUGGCGAAGGCAGCUCUCUGGGACGGUACUGACGCUGAGACGCGAAAGCGUGGGGAGCGAACAGG
Molecule: ribosomal RNA, 253 nt
Filed under: uncultured bacterium
Lineage: Bacteria
Description: partial 16S ribosomal RNA
Rfam family: Bacterial small subunit ribosomal RNA
Source: RNAcentral